This 497-nucleotide ribosomal RNA is filed under the name uncultured bacterium. Its description in RNAcentral is "partial 16S ribosomal RNA". It matches the Rfam family "Bacterial small subunit ribosomal RNA", at positions 27 to 507 of the family's 1533-position model. The record is from RNAcentral.
GGGGGGGGGGGGGGGGGGGCGGAGGGGGGGCGGGGCGAGGGGGCAGACGGGGGGGUUGCGCCGCUGACGUGCGCGGCGGGCGGGUGAUGGACACGUGGAUAACCUACCUAUGAGACUUGGAUAACUUCGGGAACCCGGAGCUAAUACCGGAUGCUAUAUUGACCCGCAUGGUUCCAUAGUGCAAGGCGGUUUUGCUGUCCCUUCUAUCUGUAUCCGCGCCGCAUUCGCUAGUUGGUAAGGUAACGGCGUACCAAGGCAACGAUGCGUAGCCGACCUGAGAGGGUGAUCGGCCAAACGGGAACUGAGACACGGUCCAGACUCCGACGGGAGGCAGCAGUAGGGAAUCUUCCGCAAUGGGCGAAAGCUGGACGGAGCAACGCCGCGUGAGGGAUGAAGGUCUUCGGAUCGUAAAACUCUGUUAUUAGGGAAGAACAAAUGUGUAAGUAACUAUGCACGUCUUGACGGUACCUAAUCAGAAAGCCACGGCUAACUACGUG